This 468-nucleotide ribosomal RNA is filed under the name uncultured bacterium. RNAcentral describes it as "partial 16S ribosomal RNA". It matches the Rfam family "Bacterial small subunit ribosomal RNA", at positions 28 to 507 of the family's 1533-position model. The record is from RNAcentral.
GACGAACGCUGGCGGCGUGCUUAACACAUGCAAGUCGAACGGAAAGGCCCUGCUUUUGUGGGGUGCUCGAGUGGCGAACGGGUGAGUAACACGUGAGUAACCUGCCCUUGACUUUGGGAUAACUUCAGGAAACUGGGGCUAAUACCGGAUAGGAGCUCCUGCUGCGUGGUGGGGGUUGGAUAGUUUCGGCGGUUGGGGAUGGACUCGCGGCUUAUCAGUUUGUUGGUGGGGUAGUGGCUGACCCAGGCUUUGACGGGUAGCCGGCCUGAGAGGGUGAACGGCCACAUUGGGACUAAGAUACGGCGCAGACGCCUACGGGAGGCAGCAGUGGGGAAUAUUGCACAAUGGGCGGAAGCCUGAUGCAGCAACGCCGCGUGCGGGAUGACGGCCUUCGGGUUGUAAACCGCUUUCGCCUGUGACGAAGCGUGAGUGACGGUAAUGGGUAAAGAAGCACCGGCUAACUACGUG